GGGGCGGCGCCAUUGUGGUAACCAUGGGAGACCAAGCUCGGGCCGAUGGGCACGGGGCGUGCGGUGGCACGCCAUUACGCGCGACCGAAGAUCAGUGCCGUCAAAUGGAGCUAGCUAUAGCAAAUGUGUUUCUAUCCACAACUCACCGUUGGUGCAAGUGGCAUGUGAUGAAGAAUAUGAAAGAGAAACUGGGAACCAUGUACUCGAAAACAUCUGAAUUCAAAAGAGAAUUUUAACUUCUGGUGAAGGAGAUGAUGACCAUGUAUGUGUGAGAAGUUUGAACACAUGGGCAUUCUCUAUUGCCACUCACUUAAGGUCAUGAUCCAUUUUGGUGUGACACUUAUAUAUACCAGAGCACUAUGUGAUGAAGAGGUGGACUAAGCACGCGAGAGACAUUCUUCCACUCAAGCUGCGGUGCUACCAGCGAGACAAUCAGCAUAUUAUGUCGAAGACAUUCAGACACAGCAUUAUAUACACGAACUCGUGUGAAAGUGUCCGUCUUGGUAAUGUAUCAAUGGAGACUUUCGCCUAUGCGAUGAGAAAGCUGGACGAGCUUAACAAAGAACUUGCACCUAUUGCCGCCACGA
Molecule: long non-coding RNA, 587 nt
Organism: Lolium perenne
Lineage: Eukaryota; Viridiplantae; Streptophyta; Magnoliopsida; Poales; Poaceae
Source: RefSeq, a predicted model, not a curated record